AAACAUUUGGUGCAAAUAUUAUUUGCCAUGGAUGCUUAAGCUUUUUUUAUAUUCUUGGUUUUUCCAAGCAGGAUUCCGGUAAGAACAUCCAACUAUUUGCUUUCCACAUAUUCAAGACUUUCAGCUAAUGGAAAGGAUUUCUUCACUUCAUACAAUGAAAUUUAUGCCAGUUUUGAUUUUAUGGGCCUGCAAGAAAAUUAAACCUUCUUGGAGGGAUCUAUGCCUACAGUUGGUUUUGAGAAGCCAUUUGCAAUUCAACAAAGGGGAAUUGUUCCUCUUUGCAAAGGGCUUGAUGUCAUUCAACAAGCCCAGUCUGGAAUUGGGAAGACUGUAACUUUUUGCUCUGGCAUUUUGCAGCAACUUGAUUAUGGUCUUGUGCAGUGCCAAACAUGUUACUUCCAUUCAAGGUUUGUAUGCAUUGGUUUAUUUUUUAAUUUGAAGCACAUAUACUAAGUUAUUGAUACAAUCUUUUCAUUCUAGUGUGUGACAUCUAUGGGUAGACACCUCUUGAGGUAUGCAUUUUCUGCUAGGAACUUACAGACCCACCAUUUUCUCCAUAUAUUUCUAAUUUACCAAAAACUUAGAUAAUAGUCGUUUUUAUUUAGAAACUGGUUUCUGAGGCCAUUACUGGAUCUUGAAAAUUUGAAUAAGCAACUUAAUGU
This is a long non-coding RNA of Cucumis melo (muskmelon), 662 nucleotides long. RefSeq lists it as uncharacterized. The transcript has 3 exons. The record is from RefSeq and is a predicted model, not a curated record. NCBI's taxonomy places the organism in Eukaryota, Viridiplantae, Streptophyta, Magnoliopsida, Cucurbitales, Cucurbitaceae.